CUGUAGGUGGUGUCUCUCUGU
Molecule: non-coding RNA, 21 nt
Filed under: Rattus norvegicus (Norway rat)
Lineage: Eukaryota; Metazoa; Chordata; Mammalia; Rodentia; Muridae
Source: RNAcentral